CUGACACAGAACUUCCAUUACCAUGUUGGCAGGUCGAGUCGGCCAGUAGAGAAGGAAAUGAGACUAAUGAUUUCCUGAGUGCAAGUCAAGAUUUUUCUUUGGGUAUUGAGGUGCAGACCUGAAGGCUACACGCUCUGGAUCGGCAGACAUGGAGGAGAAUGACAGGAAACCAACCCUGACACAUUGGCAGUCCGGUGUGGGAACUGGUGGUGGAAAGUUCAAGGUGGCCGAUUCUCUGAAGUCAGUAGGAAGAAAAGACGGAAACAGAGGCGACGCUGCAGGAGGAGGUGGACAGUGAGGCCUUUAAAUAUAUUGCGACUGGAGGACGCAGAAUUUUGCCGCCUUCCUGUCACAUCAGACCUGCAUAUUGCCCCCCACGGUUUUCGGUGGUACUGCACCGUUUGGCCUUGGUGGAAACAAACAGGAAU
Long non-coding RNA from Synchiropus splendidus (mandarinfish), 428 nucleotides. RefSeq lists it as uncharacterized. The record is from RefSeq and is a predicted model, not a curated record. The transcript is spliced from 3 exons. Lineage: Eukaryota; Metazoa; Chordata; Actinopteri; Syngnathiformes; Callionymidae.